RNAcentral lists this microRNA (21 nucleotides) under Oryctolagus cuniculus (rabbit). RNAcentral's name for it is "ocu-miR-134-3p". Its record names the gene ocu-miR-134-3p. Lineage: Eukaryota; Metazoa; Chordata; Mammalia; Lagomorpha; Leporidae. The record is from miRBase by way of RNAcentral.
UGUGGGCCACCUAGUCACCAA